This 522-nucleotide long non-coding RNA is filed under the name Elaeis guineensis (African oil palm). RNAcentral's name for it is "long non-coding RNA (EGUI_LNC020968)". The record is from RNAcentral. Lineage: Eukaryota; Viridiplantae; Streptophyta; Magnoliopsida; Arecales; Arecaceae.
GUUUUCAAAGCUACAAACUUCUAUUUUUAGAUGUCAGGUGGUUUGCUUUAAUCUGAUCUCUUAUAACCAAAUUGUUCUUUUAUUUUUGACUUAUUGUCUCUUAUUUUUAUAUGACCACGAAGAAACUGAUGGUCUUGUUGUGGUGACUACUAGUUGAGUUAAAACUGGGAAUGCACUGUAAGAAGUGAAUCAGAACAAUCAAUAAUGCAAUGAAAACAACUGAGAGAAUAUGAUACCUCUUCAUCGAAUGUGUAAAUUGUUAUGAUUCUUCUCAUCCUAUGUAUGUGUUGGCACAGCAAUGAAAUAAAAUGCUUAAUUGGGCAGUAACAGCAGAUCUUUUUAGGUAGAUAAUGGUUUCAAAUGGUAUCUGCUAUUAAGGUAUCUUGGCACUUUGGAAACCUUCAUCUAUUUGUUUCUUCCUACAGUUGGCCAGCUGGCCAUUGAUGCACCGAAUAUAUUCUGUCUUCCAACCACUAGAACAAUCCGUGUCGGGAUGCAAGGAAAAGGAUUCUGAGCUGGGGA